RNAcentral lists this ribosomal RNA (1395 nucleotides) under uncultured prokaryote. RNAcentral's name for it is "partial 16S ribosomal RNA". It matches the Rfam family "Bacterial small subunit ribosomal RNA", at positions 29 to 1402 of the family's 1533-position model. The record is from RNAcentral.
ACGAACGCUGGCGGCGUGGAUCAGGCAUGCAAGUCGCACGAGAAAGACCCUUCGGGGUUGAGUAAAGUGGCAAAAGGGGUAGUAACAUAUAGAUAACGUACCCGACAGAUUGGGAUAACAGUUGGAAACAGCUGCUAAUACCGAAUACGAUUAGGGAUGCUAAGUGGAGCUGAGGAAAGCAGGGGACCUUUGGGCCUUGCGUCGAUAGAGUGGCCUAUUUUGUAUUAGUUAGUUGGCGAGGUAAGAGCUCACCAAGACGAAGAUGCAUAGGGGACCUGAGAGGGUGACCCCCACCACCGGAACUGAGAUACUGUCCGGACACCUACGGGUGGCUGCAGUCGAGAAUCUUCCGCAAUGGACGAAAGUCUGACGGAGCGACGCCGCGUGAGGGAUGAAGGCCUUCGGGUUGUAAACCUCUGACAAAUGUUAGGAAUAAGGCAACUUAAAUAUGGUUGUUGAUGACAAAGGCAUUAGAGGAAGUCACGGCUAAAUAUGUGCCAGCAGCCGCGGUAAUACAUAUGUGGCAAGCGUUGUUCGGAAUUACUGGGCAUAAAGAGUUCGUAGGCGGAACAAAAAGUUGGAUGUGAAAUCCCUGAGCUUAACUCAGGAACUGCAUUCAAAACUUUUGUUCUGGAGUCUUUGAGGGGAGAGUGGAAUUCCAGGUGUAGCGGUGAAAUGCGUAGAUAUCUGGGAGAACGCCAAUGGCGAAGGCAGCUCUCUGGCGAAUGACUGACGCUGAGGAACGAAAGUUAGGGUAUCGAACGGGAUUAGAUACCCCGGUAGUCCUAACCGUAAACGGUGAGCACUGUGUGGUGGUUGAUCUGAUUAAUCAUUGCAGUAGCAAAUGCGUUAAGUGCACCGCCUGGGUAGUACGAUCGCAAGGUUGAAACUCAAAGGAAUUGACGGGGGCUCACACAAGCGGUGGAGCAUGUUGCUUAAUUCGAAGCAACGCGAAGAACCUUACCUGGGCUUGAACUGUAGAGAUUAUCUCCAUGAAAGUGGAGUACGCCGCAAGGUGGAACCUAUAGAGGUGUUGCAUGGCUGUCGUCAGCUCGUGCCGUGAGGUGUUAGGUUAAGUCCUUUAACGAGCGGAACCCUUACCUUUAUUUACCAGCGGGUUAUGCCGGGAACUAUAGAGGGACUGCCGGUGUUAAACCGGAGGAAGGUGGGGACGACGUCAAGUCAUCAUGGCCCUUAUGUCCAGGGCUGCAAACGUGCUACAAUGGCGUGUACAGAAUGUUGCCAAAUCGCAAGAUGGAGCUAAUCAUCAAAGCACGCCUUAGUUCGGAUUGUAGGCUGAAACUCGCCUGCAUGAAGUUGGAAUCGCUAGUAAUCGGAGGUCAGCUAUACUCCGGUGAAUAUGUUCCUGAGCCUUGUACACACCGCCCGUCAAGG